UUGAGGUCUCUCUUGGGCAAGCUUUCCCCAGUGUAAUUGUCAGCCGACUUCCUGGUGUCUGGAGAUGUAGAACUCUCAGCUCCUCCAGCACCACGUCUGUCUGCACACCGCCAUGCUCCCUGUCAUGAUGGUAAUGGACCGGACCUCUGAAACUGUAAGCAAACCACCCCGAUUAAAUGUUUUCUUUAUAGGAGUCGCUGUGGUCAUGGUGUCUCUUCACAGCAACAAAAACCCCCAGCUAAGACAGUCCCCUUUGCUGUGGCUCAGAGUGACAGAAAACAGAUGAAGGUAAAUCCAGGAAACUGACAUUUUCUCAGGGAUAUUUAUCAACUAGUUUGGCUCACUCUGGGAUGAAUGCUUGACUCCUACAGGUCUGCCCUUCUCAUUAAUUUUUCCUAUAGCCACCUCCUUCAUGCUGAACUUUACGAUGAUAUCAAGACCAUCUAUGGAGAUUCGUUGGGCUUACAUCAAAAAUAGAGUCUUGUAGUGCAGCAGGCAAACCAGAAUCGAUAAAUGAUUGACACACGGGCACCACUCACAGGGAGGUGGUACUGCCUCUGGGCUGGUGUUCCUGGGGCAGACACAGCCCAGGAGUCCACUGCUUCCCCUGCAAUGGCCCUGUUUGUACUGUCGGCUCCGAUCCACCCAUCCUUCUGCUAGUGCGACCCCUAAAAGAGCCUCUUUGUCCAGUGAGUGUGCCUUCCACGACUCUGCCAGGCGCUGUACACGGCUGCAGCCGCUUCCUUGAGCUGAGGGCUCUGGUUGCUUCCACAGCUCUUUUUUCAGUCGAGACCCUAGAAAAUUGAGCCUCUGGGCUGUGGAUGUGGCAGAGACAGAAGCGAUGCCUCCCCCGGGGAUCCCAUCUGCAAAUUCUCCUCCACACACAGACACAGGACAGGACAGCCAAGCAGUUUGGGCACCCUGGGGAGCUCUGAGUCAUGAUGAGUGUUGUACAGCCUCUGAGGCUGGGCAAAGAGGGAAACCAUACCCAGUGAAACUCUGGAAGGAUCAGACUUGAGGUCCAAGGGCCUUGUCACACAAGCAACAGGAAAUAAAGGUAAGAAGUCAGUGUUGAGAGACCAAGUCAAAAAAACAGCCCCUCUGUCCCUGAAGACGAGCACGGAUGGCCAUGCUGACUCGGCGCGAGGAAAUUGUCAGAUGUUCCCUGUUGUGCUGCAGCACGCUGGCCAGCUGCCCGGAUUCAGCAGAGUCUGUUUGAAAAGCUCUGCCUUGGAAGAUUGAAAAUAUAUAUAAAGAAAAGCUAAGAAGUGGUCAACGUGUUGUUUGGCUACAGGGGACUUGCAGAUUCAUUGCAGCGCUACUGAGAACAGAGCAGUGCCGGAGCAGAGGCCAGGCCCAGCAGACUCAGAGGCAUCCAUCUAAGCCAUUUGGAAGAACUGGGGGUCACAUCUGGCUGCCACCCUGCAGGAGCUGAAGGCAGUAGCAGUCUUGCCGAGGGUGGAGUCCAGGCAAGGGUCUUUCUCUGUCUCUCCCAAAGCACUAAAGGGGGCUUGGUUCGGCUCUGCAGUGUUAGAGUGAGGAAGCCAGGUCCAUGAUGUCAGGAUCUGAAAAGUGCUGAAGGAAACUCAAAUGUGGAUCCUACAGCAAACCAGGUUCACGUCAAAGGAGACCAAUGCCAACACGGAAACGCGCCUUCUGCAUCCAUGCAGUGCUGAGGGGAAUUCCCUAGCUGCCCCUUCCUGAAGCCGUGUUUCAGGAAGCCCUGACUCCCUCUUCCUGGAUGUCUGAUAAUGGUCAAUGUAUCACACUGCCCUGUGUCCUCCAGGGCACGCUCCAGCACUCCAGACACACCUGCAACGUCAGAUACCACCAACAGUGUCGCUUUAUCUAGAUCACAUUGUUUUUACAACAACACUACUGAAUGUAUCAUAGCUGGUGAGAAUCAAAUAUAAAUGAUAUAACAUGUUGUUAAUCAUUCAUCUUCACUAGUGCACAGUGAAGAUUCCUUUAUUCCUCAAGCACAGGAGGAGAUGAAGAAUAGUAAGUAAUAAAAUGGUAGUAAUAGCUAUGCAAUCUUACUGUGAUAAAAGUUUAAAACAUUUGAGUUAUUUACUUCUGGAGUUUUCCACCUAAUAAUUUUGGGCUGCAAUUGACCAGAACUUACUGAAACCAUGGAAAAUGAAAAUAGAAGGUCCUUGGAACUAAAUGAGUGUUGCACUAGCAUCCAGAGAAGGAUAAGAAAAGAGAUUGUAAGAUUGCUAAAGCUCAAACCAAAUUUUGUUUCCUUUCAUCUUCAUUAAUACAUAUUCAUAAUAACAGACAAUUAAUGGGGAAUAUUCUUCUGUGCAUAUGUUUGUCUUAUUGGUUGAUGAAUAAAACACUGAUUGGCCACGUACAAUGAUAGAUAGGACUAGGAGACAAGGAGGAUUCUGGGAAGUGUAGGCAGAGAGGAGUCGUCAUAUGAUACCAGGAAGUGACAUAGCUGGGCAGAAACUGCCAUUAGCUAACCAUAGAGGUCUGAAGGUCUGUACAGACAGGCAGGAAAUGACGUAGCUGGGAAAAUCAGAAUAUAAGCAGAGACAAACAGGAAAUCGCUCUCUUCUCGGUAGAGAUGCUGUACAGUCAUGAUGUAGCAGUCAAAGGAGUUGCAGGUCCGGCAUUUCCUGGUAAGACAAGACCAUGUGGAAAUACACAGAUUAGUAGUUAUGGAUUAAUAAUUAAGACAGAGCUAGCCAAUAAGAAGCCAUAACAAACGGCCAAGAGCUUUAUAAUUAAUAUAACGUCUGCAUGUUCAUUUGGGGGCAGAGAAAGACAUCGGGACCUGCCGGGCCAGAAAACUCACUCUGCAGACAAUAAUAUACUUAUCUAUGCACUAGUGAAGAUGAAUAAUUAACAUUUUAUAUUAUUUACAUUUGAUUCUCAUUAACUAUGAACAUUCAGUAGUGUUGUUGCAAAAAUUAGAUGAGUGAAUAUUGAAUCAUGGCUCCAAGGAGAGAGAUGGCACCAGAGGCAGACAUAGGGUUGUCCCUGGGAGCCUCUGGUGUAUAUGUCCAUGAACAGGCUGUGGUAUGGCUAUCUUAGUCACUGUCCUAUUGCUAUGAAGAGAAAACACAACCAAAGCAACCUACAAAACAAAACGUUUAACUGGAGGCUUGCUUACAACUCAGAUGAUAAGACAGAGAGACUAGCCUUUGUGUGACCUUUUGAAACCUCAAAGCCCACUCCCCCAUCCAAGUGACACACCUUCUUCAUCAAGGCCACACCUCCUAAUCCUUCCCAAAACAGUUCUGCCAACUGGAAAGCAAGCCUUCAAACAUGUGAGACAUUUUCAUUCACACAAUGAAAGUGCCACAGUGUCUCUCUAUGGCUUAUAAAUGCCCUACACAGACAAUCUCAGCCUAUUCUGACAUUGAAACCUACAGACCUAAUUCAUUUCCUUGAAGCAUCAACUCAGCAAUCCCAAGGUGUUCAGGCACCUGCACUGGAAAGAAAUUCUGCAUCCUAUUCCAGGACAGUCAUUUAGACAAGUCUGGUCAUGCUCCUUCUUGGUAAAACAGAGCAUGGCAACAGGAUAUAAUCAAAAUCCUUGUCAUAUUAUACCCUGUCCCAUAAAUGCGAUUGUGACGAUGUGUGUGUGACUUCUCUUAUCACUGGCUUCCAUGUAAUUAGCACUGAGAUAAUGCACCAUUUUCAUGUCUUUGGCCCCUGCAAAUAUUAAUAGUUUUGCCAAGUAAGAGAAGCCUUAAUUUGUUUUUCUGACAGCUUGUGAGACAACUUGGACACCAUCUCCAUCUUUGUUUACUGCAAAGGCAAUGAGAUUUUAGCUUCAUGCUUUCACUCGCACACGCCUCUGCUAAGACCACGGAUAAGGUUUUGGCAAUGUAUUCACAUGUCCUUUCAUAAAACCUCUAUAGGAUCAAGGUCCCUUGUUUUUUGUUUUCUCCAUUAAGAGGCCAUGCGAAUCGCACCAUUGGCAGAGUUCUCCAAACUGGGAUCAGUCCCCAGACACCACUCUUGUGAUGCUUUCCAUGAUGUCCCAGGAGGGAAGUCCCUAAGGUCCCCAAGUGCUUUCUCCUCCCAGAUAAUAUCUAACAUGCUGCCCUCUGGCUCACAAUAAGACUCUCUACAACUUCUCAACAGUAGGUGUGAUGGUUGACCAUCAAAUUGACCAGGUUGAGAUUUGUGAAGGUGUGUCCAGGAGGACUGAUGGGGAGUAUUCUUCUGUGUAUAUAUCUUACUGGUUGUUAAAUAAAGCACUGUUAGCCAAUAGGAAGCAAGAUAGGUAGGACUAGGAGUCAAGGAGAAUUCUGGGAAAUGUAGUAAAGAGAAGUCACCAUGUGAUCCAGGCAGGAAGUGACACAGCAGGCAGAAUCAGAAUAUAAGCAGGGACAAGCAGGAAAUCACUCUCUGCUCUUCUCUGCAGAGACACUGAGCAGACGCCAUGUAGACCCCAAUGGAGUAAGAGGCCCAGAACUUAACUCCAGUAAGAUAAGGCCACAUAGAAAUACCUACAUUAUUAGAAAUGGAUUAAUAAUUAUGACUGAGCUAGCAACCUUAGCCAAAGGCCAACAGUAUUUAUAACUAAUAUAGCGUCUGCAUGUUUUGGGGGCAGAGAAGGGCAGCAGAAAGCCUCGAGUUACAGAGGACAUUUUCAGAAACAGUUGAUAGUUGGGGCCCUGGCCUAAUGAGUCCAUUAACCCACUGAUGGAUUCAAUAUUUGAAUAGGUAAAAAAAAAAAAAAAAAACACGAGAGUUGGUGGGACUGUGGAUGAUGAGCUGUGGCUGAAGGGAGUAGGUCUCUGGGGGCAUGUCACUGAAUAGUUAUACCUUGCCACCUUGCCCUGGCUCCUGUCUAUAUUGCCCCUUGCGGCUCCUGUCUGCCAUGAAGUGAACGGCCUUCUCUUUGCAUUCUGCUGCCACAAUAUUCUGUCCCACUAUGGAGGCAGAAUCAAGAGAGCAAGAGAAGCCAGGGCCAUGGGUGGAAAUCUCUGAAACCACGAGCCAAAACACAUCAUUCCUCUAAGUUGUUCUGCCAGGCGUUUGUCACAGUGGCAAGAAAAGUAAUUAGUGCAACAGAGCUUCAAGAAACAUUCGUUAAAUGUGUAUUGCUGAUGGAGAUGCAAGCAGAGGCUGUGUGCAUUCUCUUGCCAAUUAUUACUUCAGACCUCACCUGAAAGAUCCUUCUAACGGCUCACGGCUCAAGGCAUCCUAACAGGUGAGGGGAGAACCAGGGCGCUGAGCAGCAGCAGGGGAGACAUUUCUGGAAGAAACAUGAAGUGACAUCAUCAAAGACAUGGAAGCCCGGCAGAAACACUCUGGGAGCUAAAUAUAGAAGGAGCCAGCAACACAGACCCAUAAUCCAAGAGAGUUUGUUCCUUGGUGGUGGCUUGGUUCUACUUCAUAAUAAAGAGAAAGUGAAGGAGAUCUAUAGAGUUGGGCAUUUAGUUAAAAUUGGGCAGACAAAAUUACAAGCACCAGUUAAUCCCAUACCGCUGUUCCCUGUCUCUAUGGGAAAGUCUCACACUGUCAGCUGUGACAAAUCUUUUAGAGCCAGUUCCAUCAUGACCUCUCUGUGAGGUCAUUCUGGGGUUGCCCUGCCGGAUGCUCCGGAUUUCACUUCUCCCUCAGCUCUGCAACCAAAACCACAAACAUCACUGCAAAUGUCUGCUGUUUUAUUUAUUUGGACAUUAGGGCCAUUACUGAACUAUGCACACACAAACUAUCCUAUUUUUAUCCCUAACAUUCCCACGCUUAACUGAUUGAAACUGUGGAGUUUUGAAUUUCAGGGCAUCUUUUUAUCCUGUGCACCCCAAAUUGUUCUGGAAAAAUGUGAAAUUGUUCUGCUGCGAGAGGCAAGGUGGUAGACAAAAUCGGGAGGCAGACCCAAAACACAUUUGAAAGCGCUCCCCAGGGGAAAGAAUGUCACAUUGAAAACAGACACCUAGAUCCUCUGGGGCUGUGGGUUGAAGGCUGGAGGACCCUAAGAGAGACAUACAUGGACUCCCUGAGCAGGGGAAAGGGACAAGAUCUCCU
Molecule: long non-coding RNA, 5994 nt
Filed under: Cricetulus griseus (Chinese hamster)
Lineage: Eukaryota; Metazoa; Chordata; Mammalia; Rodentia; Cricetidae
Description: lncRNA (ENSCGRG00015036282.1)
Source: RNAcentral